AACGAACGCUGGCGGCAUGCCUAACACAUGCAAGUCGAACGAGACCUUCGGGUCUAGUGGCGCACGGGUGCGUAACGCGUGGGAACCUGCCCUUAGGUUCGGAAUAACUCCCCGGAAGGGGUGCUAAUACCGGAUAAUGUCUUCGGACCAAAGAUUUAUCGCCUUUGGAUGGGCCCGCGUUGUAUUAGCUAGUUGGUAGGGUAAAGGCCUACCAAGGCGACGAUCCAUAGCGGGUCUGAGAGGAUGAUCAGCCACACUGGGACUGAGACGCGGCCCAGACUCCUGCGGGAGGCAGCAGUAGGGAAUAUUGGACAAUGGGCGAAAGCCUGAUCCAGCAAUGCCGCGUGAGUGAUGAAGGCCUUAGGGUUGUAAAGCUCUUUUACCCGGGAUGAUAAUGACAGUAUCGGGAGAAUAAGCUCCGGCUAACUCCGUG
This 433-nucleotide ribosomal RNA is filed under the name uncultured bacterium. RNAcentral describes it as "partial 16S ribosomal RNA". It matches the Rfam family "Bacterial small subunit ribosomal RNA", at positions 29 to 507 of the family's 1533-position model. The record is from RNAcentral.